This 107-nucleotide small nuclear RNA is filed under the name Balaenoptera musculus (blue whale). The record is from RNAcentral. Lineage: Eukaryota; Metazoa; Chordata; Mammalia; Artiodactyla; Balaenopteridae.
GUGCUUACUUCGGCAGCAUAUAUACUAAAAUUGGAACCAUACAGAGAAGAUUAGCAUGGCCCCUGCGCAAGGAUAAUAUGCAAAUUCGUGAAGCGUUCCAUAUUUUU